UACGAAGGGGGCUAGCGUUGCUCGGAAUUACUGGGCGUAAAGGGUGUGUAGGCGGAUACUUAAGUCGGGGGUGAAAGCCCAGGGCUCAACCCUGGAAUAGCCUUCGAUACUGGGUAUCUUGAGUUCGGGAGAGGUAAGCGGAACUCCGAGUGUAGAGGUGAAAUUCGUAGAUAUUCGGAAGAACACCAGUGGCGAAGGCGGCUUACUGGCCCGAUACUGACGCUGAAACACGAAAGCGUGGGGAG
RNAcentral lists this ribosomal RNA (245 nucleotides) under uncultured Caulobacter sp. RNAcentral describes it as "partial 16S ribosomal RNA". It matches the Rfam family "Bacterial small subunit ribosomal RNA", at positions 524 to 768 of the family's 1533-position model. Lineage: Bacteria; Pseudomonadati; Pseudomonadota; Alphaproteobacteria; Caulobacterales; Caulobacteraceae. The record is from RNAcentral.